UACGGAGGAUGCGAGCGUUAUCCGGAUUUAUUGGGUUUAAAGGGUGCGCAGGCGGACCGUUAAGUCAGCGGUGAAAUGCCCCGGCUCAACCGGGGAGCUACCGUUGAUACUGGCGGACUUGAGUGCGAACGGCGCCGGCGGAAUGUGCAAUGUAGCGGUGAAAUGCAUAGAUAUUGCACAGAACACCGAUCGCGAAGGCAGCUGGAGGACGCAACUGACGCUGAGGCACGAAGGCGUGGGGAUCGAACAG
This 250-nucleotide ribosomal RNA is filed under the name uncultured prokaryote. RNAcentral describes it as "partial 16S ribosomal RNA". It matches the Rfam family "Bacterial small subunit ribosomal RNA", at positions 524 to 775 of the family's 1533-position model. The record is from RNAcentral.